Molecule: transfer RNA, 72 nt
Organism: Alligator mississippiensis (American alligator)
Lineage: Eukaryota; Metazoa; Chordata; Crocodylia; Alligatoridae
Rfam family: tRNA
About the family: Transfer RNA (tRNA) molecules are approximately 80 nucleotides in length. Their secondary structure includes four short double-helical elements and three loops (D, anti-codon, and T loops). Further hydrogen bonds mediate the characteristic L-shaped molecular structure. tRNAs have two regions of fundamental functional importance: the anti-codon, which is responsible for specific mRNA codon recognition, and the 3' end, to which the tRNAs corresponding amino acid is attached (by aminoacyl-tRNA synthetases). tRNAs cope with the degeneracy of the genetic code in two manners: having more than one tRNA (with a specific anti-codon) for a particular amino acid; and 'wobble' base-pairing, i.e. permitting non-standard base-pairing at the 3rd anti-codon position.
Source: Rfam
GGGGGUAUAGCUCAGUAGCAGAGCAUUUGACUGCAAAUCAAGUGGUCCCUGCUUCAAAUCCAGGUCCCCCCU